AUGGGCGCGUGGCGCCUAGGGAGGCCUCGCGCGCAGAUGAACUUCCACGACGUCUACACGCGCGAGCAGGCACAAGACGUCGCCCCUCCGCCUCGUCUGAUAACAGACCAGGACCGUGAGGACCACCGUCGUAGGCAGCGCCGCCUCCUCAUCGCCGAGGAGGACGAGCGAGCCAUGGCGGAGUGGCGCCGGCGCCAUCCGGAGGACGUCACCGCCAAGAAUGCCUUUUGGGCGGAGAGGACGGCAAGGCGCCGCGUGGAGCAAGCGGACAAGCGUCGGCGCAAGGCACUGGCCAUAUCGCAGUGCGAUCUCGUCAAUGUCGGUGGGAAGUCGUUCUUCGGGCCUGACGAUGAACGUUGGGAUGACAUUUGGCUCGAUACCUCGGACAACACCACCGAGGAUGAUGAGGAGGAGGAGGAGGAGGACGGGGAGUAG
Molecule: ribosomal RNA, 435 nt
Filed under: Triticum aestivum (bread wheat)
Lineage: Eukaryota; Viridiplantae; Streptophyta; Magnoliopsida; Poales; Poaceae
Description: partial small subunit ribosomal RNA
Source: RNAcentral